GUGCAAAGGCAGAGGCUGUGGGAGCAGCAUCAAGCAAGACUUCGGGCAGUGAUUCUAACUAUUGCCUAUGAACACCGUGGCUGGGACGACUUUGACGAGGCAAUUUAUUACUUACGCAUAGAACACUGGCUGUGCUGAAACUGGGAGCGCAAACAGCCCCUUGUUUUCUAAUUUAGAGACUUGCAUCUUUUCGACACUCAACAGUAUCAAGACACUCUGCUACUACAGAUUGAUUUCCACCAUCAACACCUUUACCUCUUCCCGCCUGAAAAUAAAAUAUGAAAUAUAACAAGUAAAUCGCAAUCUACCUUGGGAAAUCAUCUUUCGGGAAUUUAUCUAAGAAGAACUUCUUAUGAUAUAUGAAGUCUGGGGGUAAGACCUGCAGUAAUUUCCCUUAAGAUAAGGCAGAAGGAUCCAGCUGAGAACCCUACUCCAAUGGCUGUUCUUCCCCUCUCCCAGUCCUGUUCCUUGAAGGGAUCCUUUCUCAACCCUCUCUCUCAUUAUUUUUGUCUCCUAGUGGUCACCAACAUAUUUUACUUUUAGGAGCCAAAGUUCAGGUAUUUUUCUUCCAAUGGAAUAAAUUAAUUUUGUGGUAAACGCUUAGUCUUAUUUCACAAACGGUACAGAAUAUAUAGCUCAGGUCUCUGAAUCAAAUUAAUCAAAAUAUAACCUACUCUCAAGCGAGUCCUAACUUAUGGCAGUAAUAGAGUUGUAGAAGAUCCAAAACUAUUUCUUAUUACACUGCCCCUAUGAAAUGGACAUACUCUAACCAGAGCUCUGAGUUUAUUAUGUGCCCGAGGCUGUUCAUGUGUUGUCUUACUUAAUCCUCAUAGCAAACAUUUGAAGUAGCCAACAGGAAAAUGAGGCUUAGAGUGACUAAGAAAUGUGCCCAGGGUUGUACAUCUAGCAAAUAGCAUGGAUAAGAUAUGAACCAAAGCAGCUUAACUUCAGAGCCUACACACUUAAUCACUGAACUCCUCUGUCUCCUGAGAAAUGGAAGUAACCUUCAAAUAAUCAUAUGCUGGUGAAUGAAAAAUAAAAUCCAUUAUCUACUUUCUGAGUUACUUGGCCACCCUUUUGGAAGGUGAAUAGGGAUUAGUUUUGUUGGUUUUACAAAUUCAUAAAAAGAGGCCUCCAUGAAAGUUUUGAAAUAAGUCUUUGUUCAUCUGUGUGCUGGCCCAGGUAAAACAACUGUUAUUGUUUUGGUGUACUUAAAUAGGACAUGUGUGUUGAUCUAAAAUAUACACUUAGAUUCAGUACUUAGAUCUGAGCUAGUGAGCUUUUCAUUGUAUGGUGAAUGACUUUUUCACAAUUAAUUGCUAAUGAGAUCCUCCAUUGCGUAGAAAAUAUUCAGAAUAAAACUUCAAAAUUUUAAUGAGUAAAAGUGACCAACGUUUGACCUGUUUUCAUAGACACAUAAUUGAACAAUAAGUAGCUAUCCUAAAAUAAUCAUGGACUCCAAUGGGAGUGUGGUUGAAAUGAUAAUUACUAUAUUACACUGAUUGAUUAAGGUUGUGAAAAGUUAUUAGUGCGAGGGUGAAGGGUCACAAAUUUACGUUGUCCUUAGUUUAAUUUGAAUUCUGUC
Homo sapiens (human) is the source of this 1585-nucleotide long non-coding RNA. Ensembl annotates it as long intergenic non-protein coding RNA 3000. The record is from Ensembl. NCBI's taxonomy places the organism in Eukaryota, Metazoa, Chordata, Mammalia, Primates, Hominidae.